This 400-nucleotide ribosomal RNA is filed under the name uncultured bacterium. RNAcentral's name for it is "bacterial SSU rRNA". It matches the Rfam family "Bacterial small subunit ribosomal RNA", at positions 975 to 1375 of the family's 1533-position model. The record is from RNAcentral.
CAAGUCUUGACAUCCCUCUGAAUCCUCUAGAGAUAGAGGCGGCCUUCGGGACAGAGGUGACAGUGGUGCAUGGUUGUCGUCAGCUCGUGUCGUGAGAUGUUGGGUUAAGUCCCGCAACGAGCGCAACCCUUGAUUUUAGUUGCCAGCACUUUGGGUGGGCACUCUAGAAUGACUGCCGGUGACAAACCGGAGGAAGGCGGGGAUGACGUCAAAUCAUCAUGCCCCUUAUGACUUGGGCUACACACGUACUACAAUGGCUGGUACAACGGGAAGCGAAGCCGCGAGGUGGAGCCAAUCCUAUAAAAGCCAGUCUCAGUUCGGAUUGCAGGCUGCAACUCGCCUGCAUGAAGUCGGAAUUGCUAGUAAUCGCGGAUCAGCAUGCCGCGGUGAAUACGUUCCC